This 2906-nucleotide ribosomal RNA is filed under the name Escherichia coli. RNAcentral's name for it is "23S ribosomal RNA". It matches the Rfam family "Bacterial large subunit ribosomal RNA". Lineage: Bacteria; Pseudomonadati; Pseudomonadota; Gammaproteobacteria; Enterobacterales; Enterobacteriaceae. The record is from RNAcentral.
GGUUAAGCGACUAAGCGUACACGGUGGAUGCCCUGGCAGUCAGAGGCGAUGAAGGACGUGCUAAUCUGCGAUAAGCGUCGGUAAGGUGAUAUGAACCGUUAUAACCGGCGAUUUCCGAAUGGGGAAACCCAGUGUGUUUCGACACACUAUCAUUAACUGAAUCCAUAGGUUAAUGAGGCGAACCGGGGGAACUGAAACAUCUAAGUACCCCGAGGAAAAGAAAUCAACCGAGAUUCCCCCAGUAGCGGCGAGCGAACGGGGAGCAGCCCAGAGCCUGAAUCAGUGUGUGUGUUAGUGGAAGCGUCUGGAAAGGCGCGCGAUACAGGGUGACAGCCCCGUACACAAAAAUGCACAUGCUGUGAGCUCGAUGAGUAGGGCGGGACACGUGGUAUCCUGUCUGAAUAUGGGGGGACCAUCCUCCAAGGCUAAAUACUCCUGACUGACCGAUAGUGAACCAGUACCGUGAGGGAAAGGCGAAAAGAACCCCGGCGAGGGGAGUGAAAAAGAACCUGAAACCGUGUACGUACAAGCAGUGGGAGCACGCUUAGGCGUGUGACUGCGUACCUUUUGUAUAAUGGGUCAGCGACUUAUAUUCUGUAGCAAGGUUAACCGAAUAGGGGAGCCGAAGGGAAACCGAGUCUUAACUGGGCGUUAAGUUGCAGGGUAUAGACCCGAAACCCGGUGAUCUAGCCAUGGGCAGGUUGAAGGUUGGGUAACACUAACUGGAGGACCGAACCGACUAAUGUUGAAAAAUUAGCGGAUGACUUGUGGCUGGGGGUGAAAGGCCAAUCAAACCGGGAGAUAGCUGGUUCUCCCCGAAAGCUAUUUAGGUAGCGCCUCGUGAAUUCAUCUCCGGGGGUAGAGCACUGUUUCGGCAAGGGGGUCAUCCCGACUUACCAACCCGAUGCAAACUGCGAAUACCGGAGAAUGUUAUCACGGGAGACACACGGCGGGUGCUAACGUCCGUCGUGAAGAGGGAAACAACCCAGACCGCCAGCUAAGGUCCCAAAGUCAUGGUUAAGUGGGAAACGAUGUGGGAAGGCCCAGACAGCCAGGAUGUUGGCUUAGAAGCAGCCAUCAUUUAAAGAAAGCGUAAUAGCUCACUGGUCGAGUCGGCCUGCGCGGAAGAUGUAACGGGGCUAAACCAUGCACCGAAGCUGCGGCAGCGACGCUUAUGCGUUGUUGGGUAGGGGAGCGUUCUGUAAGCCUGCGAAGGUGUGCUGUGAGGCAUGCUGGAGGUAUCAGAAGUGCGAAUGCUGACAUAAGUAACGAUAAAGCGGGUGAAAAGCCCGCUCGCCGGAAGACCAAGGGUUCCUGUCCAACGUUAAUCGGGGCAGGGUGAGUCGACCCCUAAGGCGAGGCCGAAAGGCGUAGUCGAUGGGAAACAGGUUAAUAUUCCUGUACUUGGUGUUACUGCGAAGGGGGGACGGAGAAGGCUAUGUUGGCCGGGCGACGGUUGUCCCGGUUUAAGCGUGUAGGCUGGUUUUCCAGGCAAAUCCGGAAAAUCAAGGCUGAGGCGUGAUGACGAGGCACUACGGUGCUGAAGCAACAAAUGCCCUGCUUCCAGGAAAAGCCUCUAAGCAUCAGGUAACAUCAAAUCGUACCCCAAACCGACACAGGUGGUCAGGUAGAGAAUACCAAGGCGCUUGAGAGAACUCGGGUGAAGGAACUAGGCAAAAUGGUGCCGUAACUUCGGGAGAAGGCACGCUGAUAUGUAGGUGAGGUCCCUUGCGGAUGGAGCUGAAAUCAGUCGAAGAUACCAGCUGGCUGCAACUGUUUAUUAAAAACACAGCACUGUGCAAACACGAAAGUGGACGUAUACGGUGUGACGCCUGCCCGGUGCCGGAAGGUUAAUUGAUGGGGUUAGCCGCAAGGCGAAGCUCUUGAUCGAAGCCCCGGUAAACGGCGGCCGUAACUAUAACGGUCCUAAGGUAGCGAAAUUCCUUGUCGGGUAAGUUCCGACCUGCACGAAUGGCGUAAUGAUGGCCAGGCUGUCUCCACCCGAGACUCAGUGAAAUUGAACUCGCUGUGAAGAUGCAGUGUACCCGCGGCAAGACGGAAAGACCCCGUGAACCUUUACUAUAGCUUGACACUGAACAUUGAGCCUUGAUGUGUAGGAUAGGUGGGAGGCUUUGAAGUGUGGACGCCAGUCUGCAUGGAGCCGACCUUGAAAUACCACCCUUUAAUGUUUGAUGUUCUAACGUUGACCCGUAAUCCGGGUUGCGGACAGUGUCUGGUGGGUAGUUUGACUGGGGCGGUCUCCUCCUAAAGAGUAACGGAGGAGCACGAAGGUUGGCUAAUCCUGGUCGGACAUCAGGAGGUUAGUGCAAUGGCAUAAGCCAGCUUGACUGCGAGCGUGACGGCGCGAGCAGGUGCGAAAGCAGGUCAUAGUGAUCCGGUGGUUCUGAAUGGAAGGGCCAUCGCUCAACGGAUAAAAGGUACUCCGGGGAUAACAGGCUGAUACCGCCCAAGAGUUCAUAUCGACGGCGGUGUUUGGCACCUCGAUGUCGGCUCAUCACAUCCUGGGGCUGAAGUAGGUCCCAAGGGUAUGGCUGUUCGCCAUUUAAAGUGGUACGCGAGCUGGGUUUAGAACGUCGUGAGACAGUUCGGUCCCUAUCUGCCGUGGGCGCUGGAGAACUGAGGGGGGCUGCUCCUAGUACGAGAGGACCGGAGUGGACGCAUCACUGGUGUUCGGGUUGUCAUGCCAAUGGCACUGCCCGGUAGCUAAAUGCGGAAGAGAUAAGUGCUGAAAGCAUCUAAGCACGAAACUUGCCCCGAGAUGAGUUCUCCCUGACCCUUUAAGGGUCCUGAAGGAACGUUGAAGACGACGACGUUGAUAGGCCGGGUGUGUAAGCGCAGCGAUGCGUUGAGCUAACCGGUACUAAUGAACCGUGAGGCUUAACCUU